RNAcentral lists this ribosomal RNA (254 nucleotides) under uncultured bacterium. RNAcentral describes it as "partial 16S ribosomal RNA". It matches the Rfam family "Bacterial small subunit ribosomal RNA", at positions 524 to 776 of the family's 1533-position model. The record is from RNAcentral.
CACGUAGGGUGCGAGCGUUGUCCGGAAUUAUUGGGCGUAAAGAGCUCGUAGGCGGUGUGUCGCGUCGGCCGUGAAAACCUGCAGCUUAACUGUGGGCUUGCGGUCGAUACGGGCAUCACUGGAGUUCGGCAGGGGAGACUGGAAUUCCUGGUGUAGCGGUGAAAUGCGCAGAUAUCAGGAGGAACACCGGUGGCGAAGGCGGGUCUCUGGGCCGAUACUGACGCUGAAGAGCGAAAGCGUGGGGAGCGAACAGG